Molecule: ribosomal RNA, 465 nt
Filed under: Streptomyces sp. M11(2015)
Lineage: Bacteria; Bacillati; Actinomycetota; Actinomycetes; Kitasatosporales; Streptomycetaceae
Description: bacterial SSU rRNA
Rfam family: Bacterial small subunit ribosomal RNA
Source: RNAcentral
AGCCCCCUGAAACGGGGUCUAAUACCGGAUAACACUCUGUCCCGCAUGGGACGGGGUUGAAAGCUCCGGCGGUGAAGGAUGAGCCCGCGGCCUAUCAGCUUGUUGGUGGGGUAAUGGCCUACCAAGGCGACGACGGGUAGCCGGCCUGAGAGGGCGACCGGCCACACUGGGACUGAGACACGGCCCAGACUCCUACGGGAGGCAGCAGUGGGGAAUAUUGCACAAUGGGCGAAAGCCUGAUGCAGCGACGCCGCGUGAGGGAUGACGGCCUUCGGGUUGUAAACCUCUUUCAGCAGGGAAGAAGCGAAAGUGACGGUACCUGCAGAAGAAGCGCCGGCUAACUACGUGCCAGCAGCCGCGGUAAUACGUAGGGCGCAAGCGUUGUCCGGAAUUAUUGGGCGUAAAGAGCUCGUAGGCGGCUUGUCACGUCGGAUGUGAAAGCCCGGGGCUUAACCCCGGGUCUGC